AGCGCUCGGGGCCCGCCGGCCUCUCUAGCCACCGUCGCCUCGAUGGUGGGCAGCCGCGCGCAGCCUUCAGCGCCAGACGGGGGCGCCGGUUCCGCAAUCCACCGCGUGCGGGGCCAGGACUGCUUCGCUGGCGAGACUGCGCCGAGAUCUUUGGUUGCUUGAGCCUCAGGGAUUGCUAUCGGGUGGGGACGGUCACCGAAGGACACGGGGUCCCCUCACGGGCUCUGGUGCGCACCCGGUGGAGCGGCAUUGCUUUUUUCCCCGCUCCCUCACCUGGCCUCAGGUUCGCCAGACGUUUUCAUUUUGUAGCGUCUUUUCGACAGGCAUCCCGGAGAGAAUCUUCAAGAAAAGGAAAGGCAAAGCUAUAGCCUGUGGCAAAGAUAACAGCAUCAAUGUCAUCCUCCCUGGAGCCAUCCUCAAAUAUGGCCGCUGUCUCUGUGAAUUCCUUCACGUUUGAUUUCACCUUCACCAAGCCAGAAAUUAUACAGUUUGGCAGAAAGUCAUUUACCGUUGGAUGCUGACUCAGAGCUCUGUGAAUGAUGAUAAAGAAGGAGAGAUCAUGAGAGAGAGAGAUCAUUACCAUAAGGAUUAGACUUCUUUUUUCCAUUCGGGAAGUGAUGAAGAGUGAAGAGGAAAAUUCCUCCAACAUCCUAUUAGUGAAAAGCUUUCAAUGACUGAGUACACUUUCCUUCAGAUAAGAGCAUUAUCACUUCUACUGGCCAACAGGUGAUCCACACUCUGAACGCUGCAUUCUAACAAGCUCUCCCAGCAAUCACCUGGUCUUCCUCAGAGCCAGAAGCACACUCUGAAGAGACAGCUGAGUGAGAUUAUGAGCACAGUUUGUGGUCAUGACCAAAUUCCUUAGUGUGAGGCCAAGUGAAUAAUGGGAAUCUAACUUUUAACCUUGGCUCCAUCACAUCAUCAGUCAAAAUGUUGCCAACUGAGGCAGUGAAACCAAGCCCUGCAUUUGCCAUUGGCACUGAUGGGCUGUGUGCAGGUAUCCGUACACUCUGCUGGGUCCACUUGCAGCUUCCUUGGUGAAGCAAAGUAAAUAAUUUACUAAUUCAAA
Long non-coding RNA from Aethalodelphis obliquidens (Pacific white-sided dolphin), 1069 nucleotides. RefSeq lists it as uncharacterized. The transcript has 3 exons. The record is from RefSeq and is a predicted model, not a curated record. Lineage: Eukaryota; Metazoa; Chordata; Mammalia; Artiodactyla; Delphinidae.